GUGCCAGCCGCCGCGGUAAUACGUAGGUGGCAAGCGUUAUCCGGAAUUAUUGGGCGUAAAGCGCGCGCAGGCGGUUUCUUAAGUCUGAUGUGAAAGCCCACGGCUCAACCGUGGAGGGUCAUUGGAAACUGGGGAACUUGAGUGCAGAAGAGAAAAGCGGAAUUCCACGGGUAGCGGUGAAAGGCGUAGGGAUUUGGAGGAACCCCGGUGGGGAAGGCGGCUUUUUGG
Molecule: ribosomal RNA, 228 nt
Filed under: uncultured bacterium
Lineage: Bacteria
Description: partial 16S rRNA
Rfam family: Bacterial small subunit ribosomal RNA
Source: RNAcentral